GGAGUGGUUGAGUCGGGCGGUCUCAGUUUAUCCCCUCGGGAAAAACCGUUGUCCUUCGCAAGGAGGACCGUGGGUUCGAAUCCCACCCUCUCCG
This 94-nucleotide transfer RNA is filed under the name Calditrichia bacterium. RNAcentral's name for it is "tRNA-OTHER". Lineage: Bacteria; Pseudomonadati; Calditrichota; Calditrichia. The record is from RNAcentral. RNAcentral also lists the same sequence under 1 other name.